RNAcentral lists this ribosomal RNA (852 nucleotides) under Coniothyrium glycines. RNAcentral's name for it is "partial large subunit ribosomal RNA". It matches the Rfam family "Eukaryotic large subunit ribosomal RNA", at positions 66 to 935 of the family's 3401-position model. The record is from RNAcentral. Lineage: Eukaryota; Fungi; Ascomycota; Dothideomycetes; Pleosporales; Coniothyriaceae.
CAACAGGGAUUGCCCUAGUAACGGGCGAGUGAAGCGGCAACAGCUCAAAUUUGAAAUCUGGCUCUUUUAGAGUCCGAGUUGUAAUUUGCAGAGAGCGCUUUGGCGUUGGCAGCGGUCCAAGUUCCUUGGAACAGGACGUCACAGAGGGUGAGAAUCCCGUACGUGGUCGCUAACCUUCGCCGUGUAAAGCCUCUUCGACGAGUCGAGUUGUUUGGGAAUGCAGCUCUAAAUGGGAGGUAAAUUUCUUCUAAAGCUAAAUACUGGCCAGAGACCGAUAGCGCACAAGUAGAGUGAUCGAAAGAUGAAAAGCACUUUGGAAAGAGAGUCAAACAGCACGUGAAAUUGUUGAAAGGGAAGCGCUUGCAGCCAGACUUGCCCGCAGUUGCUCAUCCGAACUUUUGUUCGGUGCACUCUUCUGCGGGCAGGCCAGCAUCAGUUUGGGCGGUUGGAUAAAGGUCUCUGUCAUGUACCUCCUCUCGGGGAGGCCUUAUAGGGGAGACGACAUGCAACCAGCCUGGACUGAGGUCCGCGCAUCUGCUAGGAUGCUGGCGUAAUGGCUGUAAGCGGCCCGUCUUGAAACACGGACCAAGGAGUCUAACAUCUAUGCGAGUGUUUGGGUGUCAAGCCCGAGCGCGUAAUGAAAGUGAACGGAGGUGGGAACCCUUAAGGGUGCACCAUCGACCGAUCCUGAUGUCUUCGGAUGGAUUUGAGUAAGAGCAUGGCUGUUGGGACCCGAAAGAUGGUGAACUAUGCUUGAAUAGGGUGAAGCCAGAGGAAACUCUGGUGGAGGCUCGCAGCGGUUCUGACGUGCAAAUCGAUCGUCAAAUUUGGGCAUAGGGGCGAAAGACUAAU